RNAcentral lists this ribosomal RNA (301 nucleotides) under uncultured bacterium. RNAcentral describes it as "partial 16S ribosomal RNA". It matches the Rfam family "Bacterial small subunit ribosomal RNA", at positions 509 to 807 of the family's 1533-position model. The record is from RNAcentral.
CAGCAGCCGCGGUAAUACAGAGGGUGCGAGCGUUAAUCGGAUUUACUGGGCGUAAAGCGUGCGUAGGCGGCUUCUUAAGUCGGAUGUGAAAUCCCUGAGCUUAACUUAGGAAUUGCAUUCGAUACUGGGAAGCUAGAGUAUGGGAGAGGAUGGUAGAAUUCCAGGUGUAGCGGUGAAAUGCGUAGAUAUCUGGAGGAAUACCGAUGGCGAAGGCAGCCAUCUGGCCUAAUACUGACGCUGAGGUACGAAAGCAUGGGGAGCAAACAGGAUUAGAUACCCGCGUAGUCCCUGUCUCUUAUAC